AUGUCAGAGAUCCGCCGCGACGUGCCGGAAGGGACGGGGGCGGGGGCGGAGGGGAAGGGCGCCGAUUCCCACGUCGGCAGCCGGGCGGCGCGGCGCCGGAGGAUGGAGAUACGGCGGCAUAGACUGGUGGCCGAGCAUGGUGCGGAGGAGGUGUCCAGGAAGAGGCGGAAGUUGGAUGGAGAAUCCUCGACGGACGAGGAGGAGAUUGAGCCCGCCAAGUACGGCGUCACGUCGGUGUGCGGCCGACGGAGGGACAUGGAGGACGCGGUUUCCGUCAGGCCCGAGUUCCUCCCCGGCCACCACUUCUUCGGGGUCUUCGACGGCCAUGGCUGCUCGCAUGUUGCUACGUCGUGCGGGGAGCGGAUGCACGAGAUCGUGGCCGAGGAGACCGGCGGCGCUCGCUCGUUGGGGUCAGACGACGCGGACAGGUGGAUGGGUGUCAUGGAGAGGAGCUUCGCGCGGAUGGACGCCGAGGCCGUGAGCUCAAGGUCUAGGGCCAGCGGAGCGCCCACCUGCCGCUGCGAGUUGCAGCUGCCCAAGUGCGACCACGUCGGCUCCACGGCCGUCGUCGCCGUGGUCGGCCCUCGCCACCUCGUCGUCGCCAACUGCGGUGACAGCCGUGCGGUCAUCGGCCGCGGGGGCGCCGCCAUCCCACUCUCAUCCGACCACAAGCCGGAUCGCCCCGACGAGCUGGAGCGGAUCCAAGCGGCCGGAGGGCGCGUCAUCUUCUGGGACGGCGCCCGCGUCUUCGGCGUGCUCGCCAUGUCCCGGGCGAUUGGAGACAGCUACCUGAAGCCAUUUGUGAUAUCCGACCCGGAGGUGAGGGUCCUGGACAGGAAGGACGGCGAGGACGAGUUCCUCAUCCUCGCCAGCGACGGCCUGUGGGACGUGGUGAGCAACGAGGUGGCUUGCCACGUGGUGCGAUCGUGCGUGCGCAGCAAGGCGAAGCGCCGCGGCGGUCGGUCGAGCCCGACCUCCAACCUGAGCCCCAGGCAGAGCAGUGGAAGCGGCAGCGGCAGCAGCAGCGGCGACGAAGCCCAGAACGACGGCGGUGGUUGUGCCGACGCACGCUCCGAGAGCGACGAGGAGAGCGGCGAGGACGUGGACGAGGCAUGCGCCGAGGCGGCCAUCCUGCUGACCAAGCUGGCGAUAGCGCGGCAGAGCUCGGACAACGUCAGCGUCGUCGUCGUCAACCUCAGGAGGCGCCGCCCGAGAUUCUGA
Molecule: ribosomal RNA, 1221 nt
Filed under: Triticum aestivum (bread wheat)
Lineage: Eukaryota; Viridiplantae; Streptophyta; Magnoliopsida; Poales; Poaceae
Description: partial small subunit ribosomal RNA
Source: RNAcentral